UUGGCACUGAAGAAUUCACAGAUAUGUUUAAAGUUCGUGGAUUCUCGGGUGCCAGAG
Molecule: microRNA precursor, 57 nt
Filed under: Limulus polyphemus (Atlantic horseshoe crab)
Lineage: Eukaryota; Metazoa; Arthropoda; Merostomata; Xiphosura; Limulidae
Description: Lpo-Mir-96-P2v-v2_pre stem-loop
Source: RNAcentral